Schistocerca gregaria is the source of this 503-nucleotide long non-coding RNA. RefSeq lists it as uncharacterized. The transcript is spliced from 3 exons. Lineage: Eukaryota; Metazoa; Arthropoda; Insecta; Orthoptera; Acrididae. The record is from RefSeq and is a predicted model, not a curated record.
AAUGUUUCAUUUUAUUUGGCAGACAGUGCCAUAAUAUAAUUAACCAAAUCCAAAAACACCCCAUUUGAGCUGCUUCGGGGAACACAAUGAUGUCAGGGAGGAGCUUAAUGGUAAGCGCCACUGUCCAUCUGUUGCGGAAACAUAAUUGUAAGUGACAGAGAGAAUGGCGGCAAGUAAAAACAUCUCUGAGAUUAUGGCAACAGUGAACAUGGCAGAAGACGAGGAAUAUACUUCCAUUGAUACUAAUAUCUUCAAGAGGGAUCCAGAAUACAUUCCUAACAAUUCAGAUGACUCAGAGAAAUGACUCUGUUCCACCAAUGAAUCAGCUAAUAGGGACACUCAAAUGUUUUGCCCCUGGUGAUUUCCUUCUGUCCAUUGGAGACUUAAUUGGUAUUGACGGACAGCCAGCGACAUUAUUAAAGAGAUGUGUGUGACACAGGACAACAUGCACAAGAGAGAGGUUUUUUUCAAUUAUUUCAGUUCUCUAAUGUAAUAAACUCAAA